GAUGAACGCCGGCGGCGUGCCUAAUACAUGCAAGUCGAGCGAAUGGAUUAAGAGCUUGCUCUUAUGAAGUUAGCGGCGGACGGGUGAGUAACACGUGGGUAACCUGCCCAUAAGACUGGGAUAACUCCGGGAAACCGGGGCUAAUACCGGAUAACAUUUUGAACCGCAUGGUUCGAAAUUGAAAGGCGGCUUCGGCUGUCACUUAUGGAUGGACCCGCGUCGCAUUAGCUAGUUGGUGAGGUAACGGCUCACCAAGGCAACGAUGCGUAGCCGACCUGAGAGGGUGAUCGGCCACACGGGGACGGAGACACGGCCCAGACGCCUACGGGUGGCAGCAGUAGGGAAUCUUCCGCAAUGGACGAAAGUCUGACGGAGCAACGCCGCGUGAGUGAUGAAGGCUUUCGGGUCGUAAAACUCUGUUGCUAGGGAAGAACAAGUGCUAGUUGAAUAAGCUGGCACCUUGACGGUACCUAACCAGAAAGCCACGGCUAACUACGUGCCAGCCGCCGCCGUAA
RNAcentral lists this ribosomal RNA (515 nucleotides) under uncultured bacterium. Its description in RNAcentral is "partial 16S ribosomal RNA". It matches the Rfam family "Bacterial small subunit ribosomal RNA", at positions 28 to 523 of the family's 1533-position model. The record is from RNAcentral.